AAAGCCUAUCUCAGUUCGGAUUGGAGGCUGAAACUCGCCUCCAUGAAGUUGGAUUCGCUAGUAAUCGCGCAUCAGCCAUGGCGCGGUGAAUACGUUCCCGGGCCUUGUACACACCGCCCGUCAAGCCAUGGGAGUUGGGGGUGCCUGAAGUUCGUGACCGCAAGGAGCGACCUAGGCAAACUAAUGACUGGGCUAAGUCGUAACAAGGUACC
This 212-nucleotide ribosomal RNA is filed under the name uncultured bacterium. Its description in RNAcentral is "partial 16S ribosomal RNA". It matches the Rfam family "Bacterial small subunit ribosomal RNA", at positions 1278 to 1500 of the family's 1533-position model. The record is from RNAcentral.